This 254-nucleotide ribosomal RNA is filed under the name uncultured bacterium. RNAcentral describes it as "partial 16S ribosomal RNA". It matches the Rfam family "Bacterial small subunit ribosomal RNA", at positions 524 to 776 of the family's 1533-position model. The record is from RNAcentral.
GACGUAGGGCGCGAGCGUUGUCCGGAAUUAUUGGGCGUAAAGAGCUCGUAGGCGGCUUGUUGCGUCGACUGUGAAAACCCGCGGCUCAACCGUGUGGCUUGCAGUCGAUACGGGCAGGCUAGAGUCCGGUAGGGGAGCGUGGAAUUCCUGGUGUAGCGGUGAAAUGCGCAGAUAUCAGGAGGAACACCAGCGGCGAAGGCGGCGCUCUGGGCCGGAACUGACGCUGAGGAGCGAAAGCGUGGGUAGCAAACAGG